RNAcentral lists this non-coding RNA (29 nucleotides) under Mus musculus (house mouse). Lineage: Eukaryota; Metazoa; Chordata; Mammalia; Rodentia; Muridae. The record is from RNAcentral.
UGAAAAAGGCCUACCUUGAGGUUAUCCUA